CUGAAUAGGGCGUUUAGUAUUUGGUCGUAGACCCGAAACCAGGUGAUCUACCCUUGGUCAGGUUGAAGUUCAGGUAACACUGAAUGGAGGACCGAACCGACUUACGUUGAAAAGUGAGCGGAUGAACUGAGGGUAGCGGAGAAAUUCCAAUCGAACCUGGAGAUAGCUGGUUCUCUCCGAAAUAGCUUUAGGGCUAGCCUCAAGUGAUGAUUAUUGGAGGUAGAGCACUGUUUGGACGAGGGGCCCCUCUCGGGUUACCGAAUUCAGACAAACUCCGAAUGCCAAUUAAUUUA
RNAcentral lists this ribosomal RNA (293 nucleotides) under Staphylococcus aureus. RNAcentral's name for it is "partial 23S ribosomal RNA". It matches the Rfam family "Bacterial large subunit ribosomal RNA", at positions 683 to 974 of the family's 2925-position model. Lineage: Bacteria; Bacillati; Bacillota; Bacilli; Caryophanales; Staphylococcaceae. The record is from RNAcentral.